Molecule: ribosomal RNA, 504 nt
Filed under: uncultured bacterium
Lineage: Bacteria
Description: partial 16S ribosomal RNA
Rfam family: Bacterial small subunit ribosomal RNA
Source: RNAcentral
AUUGAACGCUGGCGGCAGGCCUAACACAUGCAAGUCGAACGGUAGCAGAACUAGCUUGCUAGUUGCUGACGAGUGGCGAACGGGUGAGUAACGCGUGGGAAUCUACCUGGUAGUGGGGGAUAACAGUCGGAAACGACUGCUAAUACCGCAUACGUCCUAAGGCAGAAAGCGGGGGAUCUUCGGACCCCGUGCUAUCAGAUGAGCCCGCGUCGGAUUAGCUCGUUGGUGGGGUAAGGGCCUACCAAGGCGACGAUCCGUAGCUGGUCUGAGAGGAUGAUCAGCCACACUGGAACUGAGACACGGUCCAGACUCCUACGGGAGGCAGCAGUGGGGAAUAUUGGACAAUGGGCGCAAGCCUGAUCCAGCCAUGCCGCGUGUGUGAAGAAGGCCCUAGGGUUGUAAAGCACUUUCAGCAGGGAGGAAAGGAUGUACGUUAAUACCGUGCAUCUGUGACGUUACCUGCAGAAGAAGCACCGGCUAACUCCGUGCCAGCCGCCGCAGUAA